GACGAACGCUGGCGGCGUGCUUAACACAUGCAAGUCGAACGGAAAGGCCCUGCUUGCAGGGUACUCGAGUGGCGAACGGGUGAGUAACCCGUGGGUGAUCUGCCCUGCACUUCGGGAUAAGCCUGGGAAACUGGGUCUAAUACCGGAUAGGAGCCAUUUUUAGUGUGAUGGUUGGAAAGUUUUUUCGGUGUAGGAUGAGCUCGCGGCCUAUCAGCUUGUUGGUGGGGUAAUGGCCUACCAAGGCGGCGACGGGUAGCCGGCCUGAGAGGGUGGACGGCCACAUUGGGACUGAGAUACGGCCCAGACUCCUACGGGAGGCAGCAGUGGGGAAUAUUGCACAAUGGGCGAAAGCCUGAUGCAGCGACGCCGCGUGGGGGAUGACGGCCUUCGGGUUGUAAACUCCUUUCGCUAGGGACGAAGCUUUUUGUGACGGUACCUAGAUAAGAAGCACCGGCUAACUACGUG
RNAcentral lists this ribosomal RNA (465 nucleotides) under uncultured bacterium. RNAcentral describes it as "partial 16S ribosomal RNA". It matches the Rfam family "Bacterial small subunit ribosomal RNA", at positions 28 to 507 of the family's 1533-position model. The record is from RNAcentral.